Long non-coding RNA from Planococcus citri (citrus mealybug), 446 nucleotides. RefSeq lists it as uncharacterized. The transcript has 4 exons. NCBI's taxonomy places the organism in Eukaryota, Metazoa, Arthropoda, Insecta, Hemiptera, Pseudococcidae. The record is from RefSeq and is a predicted model, not a curated record.
UUCAUUCAUGCAUUUUAUUACGUCGUUUUUCUCUCUGUGUAGAUAUGUUCUUGCUCGUGUAUUUUUACAUUUCUCUCGCAAGGUGUCAAGAUGUCGACGUCGAAUUGAAACGAAUACGGUAAUGAGCUGUGAAACAAUUAUCGUAAUUGGGUUAUGUCUAUGGUGAGCCUUACGGUAGUUGAUUUCUUCAACUUGGAGCUGUGUGCAUCAUGGACUGGAAAUUUUACCAAGCAGAUCGACAUAGAGUGGAGACGACAACGUCUGAAUCAGGUUGCCAUACAAUUGGAAAAUCAAUAUUGCAGUAUAAGACAUUGAACUCAUCAGCUGAGGAAACUCGACCAAAGUGCCGGAAAACACAUCUACUCGUACACACCUCCGUAGACUCUCCUGCAGAAAUACUGUAAUCGUAAAGCUUAUCCAGUGCUCGGAGUACCAUCGUAUUGAAG